This 190-nucleotide ribosomal RNA is filed under the name uncultured bacterium. RNAcentral's name for it is "partial 16S ribosomal RNA". It matches the Rfam family "Bacterial small subunit ribosomal RNA", at positions 527 to 716 of the family's 1533-position model. The record is from RNAcentral.
GGAGGGUGCGAGCGUUAAUCGGAAUUACUGGGCGUAAAGCGCGCGUAGGUGGUUUGAUAAGCUAGCUGUGAAAGCCCCGGGCUCAACCUGGGAACUGCAGUUAGAACUGUCUGACUAGAGUACAGUAGAGGGUGGCGGAAUUUCCUGUGUAGCGGUGAAAUGCGUAGAUAUAGGAAGGAACAUCAGUGGC